UCGAUUCAACAAAAAAAACAUUUCCCUUGCCCUAAAUCUCAAAACGACUGUAUCUCCUUCUUCUUCUUUGGGACUCUGCCUCUUCAUCCUCUUCAUUCAUUAUGUUAGACUUCGUCCAAUGGUGAAGCUUGAAAGUUGCAUUUUAUGCUGUAUUAAGGAACUUAUUGAAGGUAGUCAGGUUGUAUAUCUUAUUGGUGAUUGUCUACUGGACUAAAAAAUUGGCUUAUCAGAGUCCAAGCAAUUGAUCAAAUGUCUAUUUGGUAUUUGAUAUUCGGGUUUAGGAGAGUGUGAUGAGAUAUGUUAUAAAGACCCAGUUCUAUAGGACCGACAAUGGAGUGCUUAUAUUGACCGUUUUCGUGGUGCUACCAGCUACUCGGAGGUUCUUGGUGUACUUGGGUGAACCAACCAGAUUUUGUGACAGAGGGAGUACUUCAAACAAGGAAUUUUAGCAUGGAUGAAAGUGGUUGGUGAAUGGUAGCUCCCGGGCUUUCUUUUUUGUAAACUUGGCGAAAGUCCUUUGUAAAAUUUCCAAGCUCGACUAAUCAAUUAUCACAUGGCUAAGCUAGAGAUUCAUGACCUUAUUUUGUAACUAGGAUUUAAGUCUUCUACAACUCAUAUCAUAUCCAUAUUUUGCAAUUGUGAGAUGAAUUACAAUAGUUAUCGUUAUGGCAAUGAUGUGGGUUUUAUGUUUA
Olea europaea var. sylvestris is the source of this 692-nucleotide long non-coding RNA. RefSeq lists it as uncharacterized. The transcript is spliced from 3 exons. The record is from RefSeq and is a predicted model, not a curated record. NCBI's taxonomy places the organism in Eukaryota, Viridiplantae, Streptophyta, Magnoliopsida, Lamiales, Oleaceae.